Molecule: non-coding RNA, 393 nt
Organism: Pelobates cultripes (western spadefoot toad)
Lineage: Eukaryota; Metazoa; Chordata; Amphibia; Anura; Pelobatidae
Source: the annotation of a GenBank genome assembly
UUUAUAUUUGCCUCCUGCAGUUGUUUUGCUUACAGACUCAUGUCUGAUUUUUAUUUAUUAAACCUGCACACAGUCCUUUUGUCCCCGUACUAGCAGCUCUGCUCAGUGCUUGUAUUGGGCUUCUAUAACUCAUGUAAGGUAAUCUUCACAGUGUUUGUAUGGACCAGAGGUCAGAACAUGGGCAUUUACAUCAGCAGUACCAGAAUUCACGGUCGUCUCAUUUCUGACAGCCUUGCAGAAUUGGGGGGAAAAACCUUUCCCAUCAUCUUUCUCCCCGUUACACAGGGCCAGAUAAGUAUGAAAAAGGCCACUGUGGAAUUCCACAGGGUUAUUCACUAAAGUAAUUAUUCUUGGGAACUUAAAGUGAAUUUAAAACUUUAGGCCAGAAUAGAC